Molecule: ribosomal RNA, 429 nt
Filed under: uncultured bacterium
Lineage: Bacteria
Description: bacterial SSU rRNA
Rfam family: Bacterial small subunit ribosomal RNA
Source: RNAcentral
GAACGAUAAAGUGGAGCAAUCCAUGAGUACAGUGGCGACNCGGGUGAGUAACACGUGACCAACCUACCUUCGAGUGGGGGAUAACUCCGGGAAACCGGGGCUAAUACCGACAAUAAUAUCUUCGGGAUGAAAAGCCGGAGAUCAAAGAAGCAAUUCGCUUGAAGAGGGGGUCGCGGCUGAUUAGCUAGUUGGCGGGGUAACGGCCCACCAAGGCGAUGAUCGGUAACCGGCCUGAGAGGGCGCACGGCCACACUGGAACUGAAACACGGUCCAGACUCCUACGGGAGGCAGCAGUGGGGAAUAUUGGACAAUGGGCGCAAGCCUGAUCCAGCCAUGCCGCGUGGGUGAUGAAGGCCUUAGGGUUGUAAAGCCCUUUCGGCGGGGAAGAUAAUGACGGUACCCGCAGAAGAAGCCCCGGCUAACUUCGUG